ACACUAGUACUAUCAUUGUUUCGUAAACUAAACACUGACUAUUUCUUAAACAGAACACUAGUACUAUCACUGUUUCGUAAACUAAACAUUGACUAUUUAUCAAACGAACACUAGUACUAUCACUAUUUCGUAAACUAAACACUGACUAUUUAUCAAACGAACACUAGUACUAUCACUGUUUCGUAAACUAAACACUUAAUCAUUUCAUCUUCUUAAAAACUCACUUGAAAAAGAUAUGAGUAAAAUAUUGCAAAAGGCUAGAAAUAGUCAACAU
This 274-nucleotide long non-coding RNA is filed under the name Malus domestica (apple). RNAcentral describes it as "long non-coding RNA (MDOM_LNC009934)". The record is from RNAcentral. Lineage: Eukaryota; Viridiplantae; Streptophyta; Magnoliopsida; Rosales; Rosaceae.